GUCCACGCCCUAACGAUGAUUACUCGACAUCAGCGAUACACUGUUGGUGUCUGAGCGAAAGCAUUAAGUAAUCCACCUGGGAAGUACGAUCGCAAGAUUGAAACUCAAAGGAAUUGACGGGGUCCGCACAAGCGGUGGAGCAUGUGGUUUAAUUCGAUGAUACGCGAGGAACCUUACCUGGGCUAGAAUGUCAAGUGACCGCCGGUGAAAGCUGGUUUUAUAGCAAUAUACACUUGAUAAGGUGCUGCAUGGCUGUCGU
Molecule: ribosomal RNA, 259 nt
Filed under: uncultured bacterium
Lineage: Bacteria
Description: partial 16S ribosomal RNA
Rfam family: Bacterial small subunit ribosomal RNA
Source: RNAcentral